RNAcentral lists this transfer RNA (72 nucleotides) under Galdieria partita. Its description in RNAcentral is "tRNA-Val". It matches the Rfam family "tRNA". From Rfam's summary of the family: Transfer RNA (tRNA) molecules are approximately 80 nucleotides in length. Their secondary structure includes four short double-helical elements and three loops (D, anti-codon, and T loops). Lineage: Eukaryota; Rhodophyta; Bangiophyceae; Galdieriales; Galdieriaceae. The record is from RNAcentral.
GGGUGGUUAGCUCAGGGGUAGAGCUUCUGCCUUACAAGCAGGAAGUCACUGGUUCAAAUCCAGUACCACCUA